RNAcentral lists this long non-coding RNA (201 nucleotides) under Eucalyptus grandis. RNAcentral's name for it is "long non-coding RNA (EGRA_LNC005965)". The record is from RNAcentral. Lineage: Eukaryota; Viridiplantae; Streptophyta; Magnoliopsida; Myrtales; Myrtaceae.
UAGGGUUCUGAGGUGUUUUCAUGGGAGGAGGUGCUUUUGCUUUGGGUUAGAGCUUUUUAGUUGUUGCGAAAGAGACCUCUCGAUGCUUUUCUGAUUAUUGCUUUUAAUAUAUUGUCUUUCAUUCUUGUGCCAAACUUCUAGUCUGCUAAAAGAUUAGGUAGAGUCUCAUGGGUUGAAAUCAAAAGAAUAAGCAAAUGUUUG